GGAUUUUGUUCAAAUUGAUUUCCACACAUCUGCAUUCUCAGAGCGUCUGCUUUGCAUGCAGAAGGUCCCAGGUUCAAUCCCUGGCAUCUCCA
Podarcis lilfordi (Lilford's wall lizard) is the source of this 92-nucleotide non-coding RNA. The record is from the annotation of a GenBank genome assembly. Lineage: Eukaryota; Metazoa; Chordata; Lepidosauria; Squamata; Lacertidae.